GCCCAGCCCAACCUUACACCGCACGCACGCAACCUCGCCUCUCGUCUCUCUCGCCCACAGCUUCCUCCGGCGGCAGCUGCCCCGAGCGCCUGGGCCUGGCCACUGGAGCUCCGUCUCCCCGAGCUUUUCUAUCUGCAUCUCACGAGUUUUUUCGAUCCGAAUCUCAGAGCACACGGGAGAGAGGCUCCGUGCUCGUUUCCAGGACGACAGGGCAGGGGAGGGCGGUGGGUGCGAGGCAAAGAGGGGCGUUGGUUGCAUCUGGCGAGACGGGAGGGCGAGAUGCUGAGAUCUAGCUCCUCGCCGCGGGACGCGCCGACCUCGCCGCUGCCGUCGAGUCCAACGGUGGGUGGUUGUGGCUCUCCCUCGGAUGGUCUUCUGACGAUGCGCAGCCAUCGAGCGGCCCGGACAUGCACCCUGACUAUCCGCCCGAGGUGCGUGCCUAGCGCCGACCGCGGCGGCGGACUGUAGUCAGUGAGAGAGGAGAUGAGUAAGGGCGGCGAGGCGCCGUUUGACGCCUUCAACCACGUCGUCGCCACCUAUAAGAAUGUCGAGCAUAACUAUCCAUGGUGGUAUAUACACAAGCAGCGGCUCUGUCCGGCCCGGUGUGGCAUAUGCGGUCGUCUGUGUUGUGUGCUCUCGACUGUGAUGCGUGUGGCGGGCGUGCGAAAUGUGCGCCGGCCGACGUGCGUUUGUGUUCGUGUGUGUGGCGCUAUACUAGCAGAGGAAGCGGGCGGUUGCCGGUAGAGGAGGUUCAGGAUUAGUAUGGCACGAUUAGGAUUGUUCACUUUAUUUGUUUGGUCUGGAUUAGUACAACAAUGCAUUGAUAUUUAUUUUAUGGUGCAGGAACUUCAAGACAACAAGGGUCAUCAGGCUCUACACAUUCAUCUUUGAUUUUCUCCCCAAAUCUGAAAUUGUUGGACCCCUAAAUUUUAAUCCCCUUGAGAAAGCCAGAGUAUUCAUGGAAUAUGGUCUAUUGAUGUUGACAAAUUUGAUUGUAGCUGGGACUGGCAAAGUAAGUGCAGUGCUCACCAUUGCACAUAUAUUCAGGGCAAAAUCAAACUUCAGUCAGAAGAAGAUGACCAGGCAGGAGCUAUAUCCCUCUUGAAAGUUCAGGUAUCUUCCUCUUGCAUGUUGUUAUUGCUCUUUUUAUUUGCAUUGAAGCGUGGUUGUCAUACUAUAUCCUGGAGAGAAGUGAUUGCCUGGUACCUAGGAGGACGGGUGUUCACUUCUUUAUUGCUAAUGGAUAAAAUCAUCCAUCAUGAAUUUUCCAUCUGAGUGGCAACGCUAGACAAGAGGAAGGUCUGGUAACUCUCAUCCAAUCCCUUUGGCCGUUUUUGGAUUUCAUACCCGUCGAUGUUACUAGGGUUAUGGGUUUGAGAGGCUAUUUCAUUUGUGGUCUGAGAUGGAACACCUUGAGUAGGUCCCCGUGUUGGUUUGGUGGCCGGGAUUGGGGUUGGAUGGAUUGUUGUCCCAAAUUUGCUAAUUCUUGCGUAGUAAUCUGUAUAGCACAACUGUGACGGUGCCUUUCUGUUUGGUAAUAGAUGGAAUUUUUUGUGCAUUUCUCUUUGGUUAGAUGAAUAGAUUGAUUGUGAUGACUUGUCGGCAAUGCAUGGCAAGGACAACAAAGCUGCUCGAUCUAAUAAAUAAGAGUUAGAAGACGUAGCUGCUGUCGCAUAAGAACCCGUCUCUACUGAAGUACCAGAUGCGUAAGUAGACCGAUGCUUGUCGUUUUAGUUAAUAGUCUGUCAUGUUUUACUUGUCUGAUACUGAUUAUACUAUGCCAAGAUAGCAAUGCUAUAAGUUACUCAGCAUUUUUGUUAAAAUUCGAAUCUGUAGAAACUAGAAAGGAUGGUGCUCUGUUCUUAUCUAUCUGUUGUUUUCUCAUUGUUUCUUUUAGAUCCUGACUUUUAUUGAUGGGAAGAGUUUAAGUGUGGGAUUUAUGUUACCAAAUCCAUUUGAUCUACUGUUUGGCUCUGAUUCAAAUGCUCUUGAUUUGGCUCUCCACUUGUUAUCUGCAUUAUGUACCCCAUGCUUUUGAAAGGUAAGCUCGACAAACAAAUUAGUGUAGAUCCCUGUUUUCUGGGUAAUUGGUAUCAUUUUGUGAGUCAUUAGUCUUUCAGAGUUAGUGUGAUGUAGAGUACUGGGUCUUGUACAUUGUUACUCUUUCAGAUUUUGUAACUUACGGAAGAGACGAGUAAGGCUGGUAAUUAAGAGCUUCCUGCAAAGAACUAACGUUUUAAGUUGGAGAAGGAUGCCUACACGCCUAAUUUAAUAAUAGCAACAUUUGCAAGGAUGCAAAGGAUUGUUUUCUAUGUUGUUCCCUUUCUUGCUUUACACAAAUAACAAUCUGGUGGUUCUCUUGUGGAGGGAAAACUCUACAUGGUACGUAAGGCGAGGUCUGGGCACACAAGUUGUCAUUCUAUUUGUUUGUAGAAGUUAUUCAAUUGAAAAACCUUUAUACUUGCGGUUGGCACAUCUCCUAUCAUCAGCUUAAGAAGGUAUUUACUACAGCUAGAACUUAUUAUAAAUAUUUUCUUAGAGGUUGAAACGUCUAUGCGCAUCAACUUAAAAAGAUUCUAGAUGCAUCUCUUUUAGUUUUGAUUCUGCCAGCUUUCAGGGAAAUAAACAAUUUUUCUUAGAGGUUGAUACUUUAUUUUACAUGUGUGGUAAGAACUUUAGAACUAACGAUUUAAGAUAGUACCAAUGCUCAGUGAACAUGUAGCUGUUGUAUUAGUUUCUUCUUUUCGCCCAUCGAUUUGCAGGUCACUAAACAGAAGCCUGCUGAGGUUUUCUCAAACUAAGGUCAAGUAUGCUCUUAGACUCCUUGAUAUUUAAUAUUGGUUGUGAUAAGUUCGUAUGUGUUUUUAUAUAUCUUGAAAUAAAAUAAGCAACUUGUUUUUUAAUGACUAAAAAUGGUGUAAGUGGAAUUCAUCAUCUUAAAAAGUAUCUAGGAUAAUUCAUAUAUGUUAGAUAUCUUGAAUCCAGUAAGAGCUAAAACUCAUUAUGUUCUUUGUUGUAGCAUAUUGGAUUGGACAGGGUGCCGUUUUGUUCGAAAGAUUGGAUUGAUGGGGGUAUUUGGUUUUAUGAUGGCCAGGUUGAUCAAAAUCACAUGGUCUUUUUUAUAUUGUGAGAAGAAAAAGACACCGGAACAGGCUAAAUGUUUGCAGACAGGGGAAACUGUUGCUGUUAAGAUGGUUUUUCAGGAUAAGCACUACAAGAACUGUGAGCUUCAGAUCAAACACCUACUUGACCACCCAAAUGUCUUAGGUCUAAAGCAUGGUUUCUUUUCCAAAACUGAGAAGGAUGAGCUCUUUAUGAACUUGGUUCUGGAGUAUGUACAUCACAUUGUCGCGCUACAUGCUUAACUCUCGCCCGAGCCGUUGCGCUGUCGCAACCUUUGCAAAUACUCUGAUAACUAGGUGGUGAUCAAUUGCUGAUGGCUCUCUGUAGUGGCUUGGUGGUGGGAAGGAAUAGGGCGGUGGAGGCAAGGCAGAGAGUGGGUGCUUCCCGCACUCGCCAGGCUAUCCGUGAUGCAUCUAAUAUGUUAGCAGGUUUGCGUACCACGACACGACAUUGGCAGUGGCAUCUUGGGGGAAGAAGGGGAUGACAAUGACUUAGAGAGGAAGAUCACAAUGACAACUUGCAGCGUAAUAGGCUGACAAUGCCACCGUGGAUACUCUCCUGCACUAGCUAUUCAGGUAUAUUUAUCUUCUGAAUAUGAACUUCUAUAGAAUUAUGGGCUUGGUGUUGCAUGGUUGAUAGAACCACUUCUCAUUAUACUUGCAUCACAGUUGUGAUUUGGACAAGUUCCAUUUAAAUAAAUUAUAAAUUCUUAAUGAUUUAUUUCGAUAUGCUUACAUGCUUACUGAUUUUGUGAUUAUUCAUCAUUUAGUUUUGUCCAUACUUGGUUUCUAGCACACGCUACCACAGUUGUUUUACAGUUUUUGGUAUACUGCCCUUUUUUCAUCGAUUCAUGAACUGUUAUGGUGGUUACCACUCCCUCCUGUCAUGCAACUUAGUGAUUUCAUUCUAGCUGGCCAGCCUACAGUAGUGCAGAUGACCAUACAAUUCAUUCCAUGUUAAUUUGUAAGAUUAAUGUACUCCUCCGUUCCUAAAUACAAGUCUUUGUAGAGAUUUCACUAUGGACAACAUAUGGAGCAAAAUGAGUGAAUCUACACUCUAAAAUGCAUCUAUAUACAUCCGUAUGUGGUCCAUAAUGGAAUCUCUACAAAGACUUAUAUUUAGUAACAGAGGGAGUAGUUCACAACAUGUUACCUGAAUUAGUAGAAACAACAACCCACAUGGUAUAUCAAUUUUCCAUGUUUUCCUCGUACUGUGGGUAUUGUAGCAGCAGUUGAAACUAAUGUUAGCUUGUCAUUCUGGAUAUUGUAUACAUUGACAUUGAACUUGAGAGUGGUAAGUGUUCUCUUAGUGACAAAAGAAGUCAGCACAACAAGAGAAGUCGGAGAAGCAAUCGAAGAAAGGAUGAAAACAAAAGAAAGAGAAAGUUGCAUCUGUUCCUGAAAGGAGAACAAUGGAUUACUUAAUGAACAUUGGUUUGUUUUUGCUUCAGGAGAACACUGGAUGUUCAUUUGAGUCUGCCAUGGCCACCAGUAGCGAUAACAAAGUUGCUGAUAUGGAGAUGCUCUCCUGUCAUGUAUGCUAUGAUCCAGACUGCCUUCCCUGACUUUUGAAACAACUUGUGAUGUAAUGUAUCAUCUACCAGGCUAUUAAAUUGAGUGCUACUCCCUGACAGUCACAUGUAAUGGAUUUCAUUUUCUUAUGUUAUUUAUGAAUAGCUCCUCAGUUUGAUCUGCA
Molecule: long non-coding RNA, 4818 nt
Organism: Triticum aestivum (bread wheat)
Lineage: Eukaryota; Viridiplantae; Streptophyta; Magnoliopsida; Poales; Poaceae
Exons: 5
Source: RefSeq, a predicted model, not a curated record